Molecule: unclassified non-coding RNA, 329 nt
Filed under: soil metagenome
Description: partial contains 5.8S ribosomal RNA, internal transcribed spacer 2, and large subunit ribosomal RNA
Rfam family: 5.8S ribosomal RNA (bases 1-120)
Source: RNAcentral
GAUGAAGAACGUAGCGAAAUGCGAUAACUAGUGUGAAUUGCAGAAUUCAGUGAAUCAUCGAAUCUUUGAACGCACAUUGCGCCCCUUGGUAUCCCGAGGGGCAUGCCUGUUCGAGCGUCAUUUCACCACUCAAGCCUGGCUUGGUGUUGGGCGACGUCCCCUUUGGGGACGCGCCUCGAAACGCUCGGCGGCGUGGCACCGGCUUUAAGCGUAGCAGAAUCUUUCGCUUUGGAAGUCGGGGCCCCGUCUGCCGGAAGACCUACUCGCAAGGUUGACCUCGGAUCAGGCAGGGAUACCCGCUGAACUUAAGCAUAUCAAUAAGCGGAGGA